Small nucleolar RNA from Python bivittatus (Burmese python), 217 nucleotides. RefSeq annotates it as small nucleolar RNA U3. NCBI's taxonomy places the organism in Eukaryota, Metazoa, Chordata, Lepidosauria, Squamata, Pythonidae. The record is from RefSeq and is a predicted model, not a curated record.
AAGACUAUACUUUCAGGGAUCAUUUCUAUAGUAUCUAACUGGAGAAAUGCACUCGAAAGUGAUUGGCCGAACGAACCACGAGGAAGAGGCGAAGUGUUCUCUUCUGAGCGCGAAGCGAGCGGGCGGUGCCUCUUUUGGUGGCUGCCGCCCGCUAUUGAUGACCGUUCCGCCUCUUCUUGGCGGAGAGGUCGGAGGGAGAGAACGCAGUCUGAGUGGU